AGUUCCAUAGUGUAAUGGUUAGCACAUCUGCUUUACACACAGAAGUUCCUGGGUUCGUGCCCCAGUGGAGCCA
Molecule: non-coding RNA, 73 nt
Organism: Pteropus alecto (black flying fox)
Lineage: Eukaryota; Metazoa; Chordata; Mammalia; Chiroptera; Pteropodidae
Source: Rfam